GAUGAACGCUGGCGGCGUGCCUAAUACAUGCAAGUCGAGCGAACAGAUGAGGAGCUUGCUCCUCUGACGUUAGCGGCGGACGGGUGAGUAACACGUGGAUAACCUACCUAUAAGACUGGGAUAACUUCGUGAAACCGGAGCUAAUACCGGAUAAUAUAUUGAACCGCAUGGUUCAAUAGUGAAAGACGGUUUUGCUGUCACUUAUAGAUGGAUCCGCGCCGCAUUAGCUAGUUGGUAAGGUAACGGCUUACCAAGGCAACGAUGCGUAGCCGACCUGAGAGGGGGAUCGGCCACACUGGAACUGAGACACGGUCCAGACUCCUACGGGAGGCAGCAGUAGGGAAUCUUCCGCAAUGGGCGAAAGCAUGACGGAGCAACGCCGCGUGAGUGAUGAAGGUCUUCGGAUCGUAAAACUCUGUUAUUAGGGAAGAACAAAUGUGUAAGUAACUAUGCACGUCUUGACGGUACCUAAUCAGAAAGCCACGGCUAACUACGUG
RNAcentral lists this ribosomal RNA (497 nucleotides) under uncultured bacterium. RNAcentral describes it as "partial 16S ribosomal RNA". It matches the Rfam family "Bacterial small subunit ribosomal RNA", at positions 28 to 507 of the family's 1533-position model. The record is from RNAcentral.